GAUGAACGCUGGCGGCGUGCCUAAUACAUGCAAGUCGAGCGAACAGACGAGGAGCUUGCUCCUUUGACGUUAGCGGCGGGCGGGUGAGUAACACGUAGGUAACCUACCUAUAAGACUGGGAUAACUUCGGGAAACCGGAGCUAGUACCGGAUAAUAUUUCGAACCGCAUGGUUCGAUAGUGAAAGAUGGCUUUGCUAUCACUUAUAGAUGGACCUGCGCCGUAUUAGCUAGUUGGUAAGGUAACGGCUUACCAAGGCAACGAUACGUAGCCGACCUGAGAGGGUGAUCGGCCACACUGGAACUGAGACACGGUCCAGACUCCUACGGGAGGCAGCAGUAGGGAAUCUUCCGCAAUGGGCGAAAGCCUGACGGAGCAACGCCGCGUGAGUGAUGAAGGUCUUCGGAUCGUAAAACUCUGUUAUUAGGGAAGAACAAACGUGUAAGUAACUGUGCACGUCUUGACGGUACCUAAUCAGAAAGCCACGGCUAACUACGUG
This 497-nucleotide ribosomal RNA is filed under the name uncultured bacterium. Its description in RNAcentral is "partial 16S ribosomal RNA". It matches the Rfam family "Bacterial small subunit ribosomal RNA", at positions 28 to 507 of the family's 1533-position model. The record is from RNAcentral.